This is a long non-coding RNA of Galeopterus variegatus (Sunda flying lemur), 827 nucleotides long. RefSeq lists it as uncharacterized. Lineage: Eukaryota; Metazoa; Chordata; Mammalia; Dermoptera; Cynocephalidae. The transcript has 3 exons. The record is from RefSeq and is a predicted model, not a curated record.
AACCCCCCUCCCCCUUUCCCCCGGGCCCAGAUUGAGCUGGUUAGAGCUUCCCAAAGCAGCUCUCAGUUGCUUUACCUUGAUAUCCACCCUGGCCACCUAUAUUCCUAUCCUUCAGAUAGGCACAACAUUCACUAUGCUGGACUCUCUAAUGUUCCACUUCUAGUCUAGUUCAGUUACUAGUCCUGGGGACACAGAAUUGGACCUAAUAAAUUCUAAAGAACUACUGCCAGGUGCUGAGAUAUUGUAGCUGGGAAUUAACUGGUUUAGUCAGGGUCAUUCUGAGACUACUGCUAAUACCCUUGGAAAACUGGAUAUGCCUUAUGGUGCAGAUGUUCACUUAAUGACAGUGGUUCAUUGUUUACUUUGGCUUUUGCAAAAUGUUCUGAACAAUUAAGCAGAGUUUUCUAGGUUUUUGUUUUUUUGUUUUUUGAGUCAAAGGAGAGCUGGAAGAUUAUCAAAAUAUGAUGGGUGAAGACGGAAAUGGGAGAUGGCAGAAGGAAGACCAUUAGAGUCCCAGUUGAAGAUGGCGUCUCUAAAACUGCCUUAAUGCCUGGCACAAACCACAUAUUUGCAUAUGAACUACUACUGUUUUCCAAACUGUCGACCUCUGUUUGAAAUCGUUUUGGGGGAUGGUUUUGGAAACAUGGUGGCAUAAAAUCUGAACAGUCAAGAGCUAAACCAGCAAAAAGGAGAAAUGACUUCAUCUGCAGCCUUCGCUGCCUUCGUCCUGUGUUGAUCCUCUGUGAUUUCCUCCUACUGCCCAAGAUGUGUGUAUGAAAUUUUACCUCCCAGAAAAGCAGAAAUGGCUGUGCUCCCAUGAUGGACCA